GCCUGGGUGGCUCAGUCGGUUGAGCAUCCAACUUCGGCUCAGGUUGUGAUCUCACAGUUCGUGGGUUCGAGCCCCGCAUCAGGCU
Molecule: transfer RNA, 85 nt
Organism: Felis catus (domestic cat)
Lineage: Eukaryota; Metazoa; Chordata; Mammalia; Carnivora; Felidae
Rfam family: tRNA
About the family: Transfer RNA (tRNA) molecules are approximately 80 nucleotides in length.
Source: Rfam